ACAACAACCACAGCAGCUCCAACAACAACCACAGCAGCUCCAACAACAUCAACCACAGCAGCUCCAUCAAAAACUACUGCUGUUCCAAUGACGACAGCAGUUGGCCAAGUGACAACUACACAACCUACAAGUGCGUGUGCUUCAAACCCAUGUCUCAGUGGAAGCACAUGUCAAGAUCGUGGUAACGGGUCUCACUUGUGCUUGUGUCUUCCGGGAGAUGUUUAUCAACAAGGCUGUCAAAAGGCCAAGGUUUUCCGUGCUCUGGUGGCCUUGGUGGAAAAAUAUCAUCCUGAAAUGGCCGACAAAACAUCACAAAAAUUUAAAGAGAUUGCAGACAAAAUUAUU
Long non-coding RNA from Poecilia latipinna (sailfin molly), 345 nucleotides. RefSeq lists it as uncharacterized. The transcript is spliced from 3 exons. The record is from RefSeq and is a predicted model, not a curated record. NCBI's taxonomy places the organism in Eukaryota, Metazoa, Chordata, Actinopteri, Cyprinodontiformes, Poeciliidae.